CAUGCAAGUCGAGCGAACUUUUGGGAGCUUGCUCCCAAAAGUUAGCGGCGGACGGGUGAGUAACACGUGGGCAACCUGCCUAUAAGACUGGGAUAACUUCGGGAAACCGGAGCUAAUACCGGAUAACAUAUGAGACCACAUGGUCUUGUGUUAAAAGAUGGCUUUUAGCUAUCACUUAUAGAUGGGCCCGCGGCGCAUUAGCUAGUUGGUGAGGUAAUGGCUCACCAAGGCGACGAUGCGUAGCCGACCUGAGAGGGUGAUCGGCCACACUGGGACUGAGACACGGCCCAGACUCCUACGGGAGGCAGCAGUAGGGAAUCUUCCGCAAUGGACGAAAGUCUGACGGAGCAACGCCGCGUGAGCGAAGAAGGCCUUCGGGUCGUAAAGCUCUGUUGUUAGGGAAGAACAAGUAUCGUUCGAAUAGGGCGGUACCUUGACGGUACCUAACCAGAAAGCCACGGCUAACUACGUGCCAGCAGCCGCGGUAAUACGUAGGUGGCAAGCGUUAUCCGGAAUUAUUGGGCGUAAAGCGCGCGCAGGCGGUCCUUUAAGUCUGAUGUGAAAGCCCACGGCUCAACCGUGGAGGGUCAUUGGAAACUGGGGGACUUGAGUGCAGAAGAGGAGAGCGGAAUUCCACGUGUAGCGGUGAAAUGCGUAGAGAUGUGGAGGAACACCAGUGGCGAAGGCGGCUCUCUGGUCUGUAACUGACGCUGAGGCGCGAAAGCGUGGGGAGCGAACAGGAUUAGAUACCCUGGUAGUCCACGCCGUAAACGAUGAGUGCUAAGUGUUAGAGGGUUUCCGCCCUUUAGUGCUGCAGCAAACGCAUUAAGCACUCCGCCUGGGGAGUACGGUCGCAAGACUGAAACUCAAAGGAAUUGACGGGGGCCCGCACAAGCGGUGGAGCAUGUGGUUUAAUUCGAAGCAACGCGAAGAACCUUACCAGGUCUUGACAUCCUUAUGCCAACCCUAGAGAUAGGGCUUUCCCUUCGGGGACAUAAGUGACAGGUGGUGCAUGGUUGUCGUCAGCUCGUGUCGUGAGAUGUUGGGUUAAGUCCCGCAACGAGCGCAACCCUUGAUCUUAGUUGCCAGCAUUUAGUUGGGCACUCUAAGGUGACUGCCGGUGACAAACCGGAGGAAGGUGGGGAUGACGUCAAAUCAUCAUGCCCCUUAUGACCUGGGCUACACACGUGCUACAAUGGAUGGUACAAAGGGCAGCGAAACCGCGAGGUCAAGCCAAUCCCAUAAAACCAUUCUCAGUUCGGAUUGCAGGCUGCAACUCGCCUGCAUGAAGCCGGAAUCGCUAGUAAUCGUGGAUCAGCAUGCCACGGUGAAUACGUUCCCGGGCCUUGUACACACCGCCCGUCACACCACGAGAGUUUGUAACACCCGAAGUCGGUGGGGUAACCGCAAGGAG
Molecule: ribosomal RNA, 1414 nt
Filed under: Litchfieldia sinesaloumensis
Lineage: Bacteria; Bacillati; Bacillota; Bacilli; Caryophanales; Bacillaceae
Description: bacterial SSU rRNA
Rfam family: Bacterial small subunit ribosomal RNA
Source: RNAcentral